UGGGGAAUAUUGCACAAUGGGCGCAAGCCUGAUGCAGCCAUGCCGCGUGUAUGAAGAAGGCCUUCGGGUUGUAAAGUACUUUCAGCGGGGAGGAAGGGAGUAAAGUUAAUACCUUUGCUCAUUGACGUUACCCGCAGAAGAAGCACCGGCUAACUCCGUGCCAGCAGCCGCGGUAAUACGGAGGGUGCAAGCGUUAAUCGGAAUUACUGGGCGUAAAGCGCACGCAGGCGGUUUGUUAAGUCAGAUGUGAAAUCCCCGGGCUCAACCUGGGAACUGCAGCUGAUAAUGGCAAGAUUGAGUCUCGUAGAGGGGGGUAGAAUUCCAGGUGUAGCGAUGAAAUGCGUAGGGAUCUGGAGGAAUACCGGUGGCGAAGGCGGCCCCCUGGACGAAGACUGACGCUCAGGUGCGAAAGCGUGGGGAGCAAACAGG
This 429-nucleotide ribosomal RNA is filed under the name Chloroflexota bacterium. Its description in RNAcentral is "Chloroflexi bacterium partial 16S ribosomal RNA". It matches the Rfam family "Bacterial small subunit ribosomal RNA", at positions 355 to 776 of the family's 1533-position model. Lineage: Bacteria; Bacillati; Chloroflexota. The record is from RNAcentral.